RNA transcript from Diachasma alloeum, 5005 nucleotides. It is a transcript of the gene named phosphofurin acidic cluster sorting protein 2, with no coding region annotated. NCBI's taxonomy places the organism in Eukaryota, Metazoa, Arthropoda, Insecta, Hymenoptera, Braconidae. The record is from RefSeq and is a predicted model, not a curated record. The transcript has 12 exons.
AUCCUAUAAUAUUACGCAUAUACUAAAUAUACAUAUUGUGAAGAGAAAAAAUCAUAGAUUUGACUAAAAUCCUGAACCUGAAAUCAGUUAGCCGUCAACAGCGGCAGUGUGUGUGUGUGUGUGUGGGCGUGGUGCGUACAAUAUUAUUGUUGUCAGUAUAGUGGAUGAACUGUGUGCACUGUAUGGUUGAAUAAUGGCGGAGCGGACCAAAGUGACGGCCCUGGUUAACCGGCCUGUGCCAAUGAAAUUAUUUGCUACUUGGGAAGUUGAUCGUACACCUCCUAACUGCAUACCAAGGUUAUGCACAUUGACAUUGACGAGACUCGUGAUACUCCGGCCUUUGGGUGCUGAUUUGGCUUCAAUCAGUAUUGCCGUCAAAAUGCAAAGUUCUAAAAGAACAUUACGCUCCAAUGAAAUGUCAAUACAACCUGGAGGAAUGCUUGACACAGAAUUGGAAUUGCAAUUUGCCCUGCAGUAUCCACAUUUUCUCAAGAGGGAUGGUAAUAAGUUGUUAAUUCUAUUACAGAGGAGGAAAAGAUACAAAAAUCGAACCAUGUUGGGAUUUAAGACUUUGGCUGAAGGUGUUGUUAACAUGGCACAGGUUUUGCAGAAGCAAAUGGAUCUUGAAUUGGAACUUGUCUCAGAUAAAGCCGAAAAAUACGGUGGAUCAUCAGUUGUAUUGGCAAAAAUUAGUGUUGUUGCGCUUUGCUCGCAGCCAGUUGAUCAGGAUAAAAGGCUAAUAAAUGACGCAAGUGAGCGACUGUGUCCCGAGUACAGUGACGACGAGGAGGAAUUUAGUUCAGAGGGUGAAGCUGAAGGCAGUGAUUCUGAACCCACGCUAGAGGUACAUCGACGAAAAAGCCGAACAAAAAUACCUGCUAAUGCAAGGCAAAGAAAUUUAAAGCAAAAAUUUAUUGCUCUAUUAAAACGAUUUAGAGUAUCAGAGGAAUUGGAACACGAUCAAGAGGAAAUUGGUCAAAAAUUAUCAGGCGGAGAUAUGGAAAUUGAAGAGCUUUUUGACGAGUUGGAAGAUCUAUCGGACAGUGGUCCAGAAUUGGACACAAUGUCUGUGAGUAGCACACCAAAACCCUCCCUCCGACCAUUCUUCAGUUCUAGUCGAUCUCUCUUGGCGCCGCCAAAUAAUGUAGUUACCAAGGAGGAAAGUGGAACGAAUUCAACGCAAAUUACGACAGUGUCACAGCCAACAACUGGACAGGCUAUUAAAGAGAAGUCACGUGUCGGACACACUACACCAGAAAGGUGUACAGACAGGCAGAGUGAUGACAGCUCAAGACGCGCAGACAGUGACUCACAUCCAGAAAACUGGACCGAUCAUGAGGCAAACGAUGGGCCAAAUGCAGUGACAGGAUCGCCUCCAAAAUUUGAAGGACAGCAUGGUAAUAAAAACGAAAAUAAUGACAGGAAGGGUCGUCUUUUUGCCAGAGAUCGAGGAACCCCAGGGAGUAACAAGUCUAAGAAGCAUAGUCUCAGUGUUGAUCUGAAGCCUCCAACGGAAUUGAAUAGUUUAGAACCGAGGAAAGCAUUGGUAGAGCAGUUGGUGCGAGUUUUGCCAGAUGAUUGUCUGCCAGAGUCCAUAGCUAUUGUGUCAUUGGCAGAUACAGGUGGUGCUGUACUAGCAGCUCGUCUUCAAGAGCGCAAUAUCAGAGUAUUAACUAGUGCAUCACCAGCAGAUAUUCGUGCAACAUUUACCUGUUUGAUAGCGAGGAUACAAAAAUUCUGUAACAGUUCUGCAAAGCCACCAUCUCCAAUAAGAAUAGUGAUUGCCGGUGGUGACGGGUUUGUUAAUGCUAUACUGAAACAUUAUGUGGACCUUUUGAGUUUUCGACCACCAGAUUGGCAGAAUUAUUUGAGAUUUCUGAUUGUGCCACUCGGAUCAAAUACAUUAUCCAAAUACCUAGCUUCUGUUGACAACAAGUACUCGAUGCUAUUUGGUGAUGAAUGGAAGGAAUUAUUAGAGCGCGAGAUAGGAGGGGCUGCGGAAGGAGCCGCUAGGGUUUCUGAGUACCUUGCCAAUGUUGGCCCGACAUUAUUAUUACCAAUUGCUGAAGCAAUGGUAACAUAUAGAGAGACAGAUGAUAGUAGUCAAAUAUUCAUUCCAUUUGUUAACGACGUGCGUGUUGGCUGUCCUGAAAGCAGUGCCUCAGCUUCUGUUGACCUUGAAGAAGGUGGAAUUGCAAUGUCGGGUUCUCCACCUUCUUUGCCGCCAACGUGCCUUUCAAUUGUGCCACCUCCUGGAAGAUUAACGCCACCCAGCAGUCCAAAUGUCAGUCAGCCACGUGAUGGAUGGGAACCAGUUGAAUUACAGUUGGAUUACUGGAGCAAAUCUACUUUAGGGGAUAAAGGAAAAUGUACGCUGAGGCAAGCCUUCCGUGCCCUUCACGUUCAAAGGUUACCCACUGUGGGAGAAAAUCCUGGACAAUAUCUGUCAAUGAAUUACACAACCAAAGAGAAAAAACAGAAAAUUAUGAGAUUGGGUAAAAAAAAAGAAAAGGAGAAAGAAAAUGAGCCGAAGAAUCAAACCGUGGAUGGUGUGACCAGAUUAAUUUGUUCGGCAAAAACCCACAUUCCUUUGAGAGUGACAAUCGAUGGAACUGAGUGGUAUGGAGUUAAAUUCUUCCAACUAUCAGCACAAUGGCAGACGCAUAUUAAAAAUUUUCCAGUUUCCAUGUUAGUUUACAGUCAGCUUCAACAACAAACCACUAAUUUUACGUAAAAAAAAAAAUUUGAAACUUCAUAUAUUGAAGAGCACAAAAAAAAUGCUAAUUAUUCCAUUAAAUUAUUUAGAGUUUAGAAACAUUUGUUAAAUUAUUGGUAUACGAAUGCCCAAGCUGAUAAAAAUUUAAGAAAAUACGGCGUUCAUUCACCACGUUGCUGUAUUUACCGUGCUUUCCUGUUAGUGUUCAAUUUCAGUGGGGUAAUAAUUUCAAUGGCAAUCAAUGUUGGAUUGAGGAAAAUAUAUUUAUGCAUAGAUACACAUUUGAAAGAGGCAGUAAAAGGACGGAAUUUUUUCACAGAUCAAUGCUAAUUAUGGAAAUCGCAAGCAGAACUUAGUGAUAAAGUAACAUAUUACCGACAAAUAAUAGCCAUGUACGUUUAAGACUGCGGCCGAAAUAUUAUAUUAGAAAUUAAUGUUUAAUCUCUAUCCACAUUUCCGAUCAAUUUUUAAUUAGUGUAACCACCGAUUACUUAUUAUUCAACUGAAUAUCCGAUCAUAUAAUGCACACAAAUCAUAUCCAACUUUAGUUUUUCUCAAUAAAGUUUUGCAACACCUGUAAUUUCAAUGACAGCAAUAGUACUAUAUGUAAUUUUAUGAAUAUUGCCAUUGAAUUUUUCCUUACAAUGUGCCUGGCCAUCACGCCGUCACUGGUUCUAGUCGUGAAUGAAAACUAUAACAUUUUUUAAUGUAAAUUAAAAUUCCACUUGAUUGAAAAUUAUUUCAAGUCUAUUAGAUCUGACAAGUACAUGGUUUUUUUUUCCUAUUUCAUCACCACUGAUAUAAUUCUACCUUCUCAUCAGUUGAACUGUCGUGUGAUGCGGUAGCAUUAUAAAGUUUAAUAAUAAGUGAUUAAAGGAGGCAUGUCCAGCUCAAUGCUUACAAUAAUUGAAGACUUAUGUGGUAAUAUACAGAUUAUUGAGGUGAUUGAUUGCAUUAAAAAAACAAUAUAAAUAAAAGGGUCUCGAAUUGUUCACAGCAUUACCUAUCUUUUCUGUGCUUACAAGAGGAGGCCCACAAAGUGUGUUUGCGUGGGUGCAUAAUACUGUAACUAUAUAUAUAUAUAUUGAGAAAAGGGGCCGGGGGGAGGGGCAAAGGUACGAGAGAGUUGAAUUAAAAUGGCUUGCUUAUGGUAAAACAAUUUCAACCAGUUCGUUGAUAAAUGUCAUUUGUAAGAAAUUUUAUUACCUUGAAAGUCCUUGAUCGCUGAACGGACCCGUCAAAUGAUUUUUCAUACUCAUUAGACUCUAAAAAAUCCAAGUCGUACUAUUAUAAAAAUAAUUAAAAAGUAACUGUUGUUACAUACGGUCUAUUUUAGAGAAAAUAGACCGCCCCUCCCCCUCAGUGACCAAUGAUUUUCAAGUUUCAUCACGGCUCUCCGUCAAACUCAAAUUUUGAAAUCAAAGUUACAUAUCACGGGUAUACUUUCUAUUCCGCAAAAGACAUGCGUGAAUGUUUUACAAUUAGGAAAUUUUCUGCGGCAGUAGAAUAGAUUAUCUACCAAAUGUAUGGUGAGAAUAAACCAUUUAUAGGUGUAAUGAAUAGUAAAAAAUAUAUAUCCAAUUGUGCAAUAUUUGUUGUGCAUUAAAUCAUGUCAUUAUUUGUUUCGGACGACCUUAUUAAUUGAUCAAUGGCAUAAACGAAAAGAGAGUAUAAAACCGAUAGUGAAGCCAAUUUUAAUUUAACUCCACAUUGUUUGUAUGAUGAAGGAGAGGGGAUGUUGGAUAUUUAAAUGUGAUAUGUACUUUUAAAUAUAUAAUAUUUGAAUGUCAAAUAUUAUUUAUUCAUAAUUAGAUUAGAUUCAAUUUUAAGCCGUGUCCUGAGCUUAUGAGUACACUUGAUGAUCGUCUUUCAUUACAAUAUGUAUAUUCUUGUUUCUAUGUACUGUGAACAAGUGAAUUUUGCAAGAUCCUUUGACAUACAAGAUAUACUUUUAAUAAAUAAAAAGCUCAAGGUACAAAUAGAGGCAAUUAGGAAAUUCAUUAGCCUAUUAAUUAUGAAAAUAAUUAAAAAGGAAUUGUUGUUAAAUACGGUCUAUUCUCGAGAAAGUAAUAUGGUUUCAAUGCUGUUAAUUGAGGGACAAAUGGGCAAAACAGUGAAGAAGUAAUGAAGACUAUGAUGCUGGAUGAAAAAAAUUUUAAUGGAGUGAAGAUCAACAGUUAAAUCAUAAUCAUAUUAAUGUUUUUGGGCUUGAAAUAUAAAUGUAAUGCAUUCUUCAAUUAUGCUGUAAAUAUCAUUUGAUAGAAUAAAAGAUUGUGUUGUUGCAAGGCA